This 254-nucleotide ribosomal RNA is filed under the name uncultured bacterium. RNAcentral's name for it is "partial 16S ribosomal RNA". It matches the Rfam family "Bacterial small subunit ribosomal RNA", at positions 524 to 776 of the family's 1533-position model. The record is from RNAcentral.
UACGUAGUGGGCGAGCGUUGUCCGGAUUUAUUGGGCGUAAAGAGCUCGUAGGCGGUUUGGCAAGUCGGGUGUGAAAACUCCGGGCUCAACUCGGAGACGCCACUCGAUACUGCCAUGACUCGAGUCCGGUAGGGGAGUGCGGAAUUCCUGGUGUAGCGGUGAAAUGCGCAGAUAUCAGGAGGAACACCGGUGGCGAAGGCGGCACUCUGGGACGUGACUGACGCUGAGACGCGAAAGCGUGGGGAGCAAACAGG